This 450-nucleotide ribosomal RNA is filed under the name Bacillus subtilis. RNAcentral describes it as "bacterial SSU rRNA". It matches the Rfam family "Bacterial small subunit ribosomal RNA", at positions 164 to 599 of the family's 1533-position model. The record is from RNAcentral. Lineage: Bacteria; Bacillati; Bacillota; Bacilli; Caryophanales; Bacillaceae.
UAAUACCGGAUGGUUGUUUGAACCGCAUGGUUCAAACAUAAAAGGUGGCUUUGGCUACCACUUACAGAUGGACCCGCGGCGCAUUAGCUAGUUGGUGAGGUAACGGCUCACCAAGGCAACGAUGCGUAGCCGACCUGAGAGGGUGAUCGGCCACACUGGGACUGAGACUUGGCCCAGACUCCUACGGGAGGCAGCAGUAGGGAAUCUUCCGCAAUGGACGAAAGUCUGACGGAGCAACGCCGCGUGAGUGAUGAAGGUUUUCGGAUCGUAAAGCUCUGUUGUUAGGGAAGAACAAGUACCGUUCGAAUAGGGCGGUACCUUGACGGUACCUAACCAGAAAGCCACGGCUAACUACGUGCCAGUAGCCGCGGUAAUACGUAGGUGGCAAGCGUUGUCCGGAAUUAUUGGGCGUAAAGGGCUCGCAGGCGGUUUCUUAAGUCUGAUGUGAAA